CGCUGAACUUAAGCAUAUCACUAA
RNAcentral lists this ribosomal RNA (24 nucleotides) under Paragonimus westermani. RNAcentral describes it as "partial 28S ribosomal RNA". RNAcentral also lists the same sequence under 9 other names. The record is from RNAcentral. Lineage: Eukaryota; Metazoa; Platyhelminthes; Trematoda; Plagiorchiida; Troglotrematidae.